Molecule: long non-coding RNA, 267 nt
Organism: Thunnus maccoyii (southern bluefin tuna)
Lineage: Eukaryota; Metazoa; Chordata; Actinopteri; Scombriformes; Scombridae
Exons: 3
Source: RefSeq, a predicted model, not a curated record
CCGAAUUAUGUUUCUGACUUUUUAAGACGUUUUUGACACCAGUUAAGAUUUGAGGGCUACUUCUGAACACAAUUCUGACGGCUGUCUCUCUAAAGAGUAGCUGCGUGUGAGCUGCAAGGUGCUGUCCUCCUGGCUCUGAUUGGCCGGUUGGUCCUGCAGAGAAGUGGCUCGUAACAAAGCACCCAGGCCUCUCCGGACUGAUCCUCGCCGGGCUUACACUCUGCGUCCUUGAUGGCUUUCUGGUACAGCUCAGAGAAACUCCUGUGG